RNAcentral lists this ribosomal RNA (506 nucleotides) under uncultured bacterium. Its description in RNAcentral is "partial 16S ribosomal RNA". It matches the Rfam family "Bacterial small subunit ribosomal RNA", at positions 29 to 523 of the family's 1533-position model. The record is from RNAcentral.
AGUGAACGCUGGCGGUAGGCCUAACACAUGCAAGUCGAACGGCAGCACAGGAGAGCUUGCUCUCUGGGUGGCGAGUGGCGGACGGGUGAGGAAUACAUCGGAAUCUACUUUUUCGUGGGGGAUAACGUAGGGAAACUUACGCUAAUACCGCAUACGACCUACGGGUGAAAGCAGGGGACCUUCGGGCCUCGCGCGAAUGAAUGAGCCGAUGUCGGAUUAGCUAGUUGGCGGGGUAAAGGCCCACCAAGGCGACGAUCCGUAGCUGGUCUGAGAGGAUGAUCAGCCACACUGGAACUGAGACACGGUCCAGACUCCUACGGGAGGCAGCAGUGGGGAAUAUUGGACAAUGGGCGCAAGCCUGAUCCAGCCAUACCGCGUGGGUGAAGAAGGCCUUCGGGUUGUAAAGCCCUUUUGUUGGGAAAGAAAUCCAGCUGGCUAACACCCGGUUGGGAUGACGGUACCCAAAGAAUAAGCACCGGUUAACUUCGUGCCAGCCGCCGCCGUAA